This 857-nucleotide ribosomal RNA is filed under the name Phaeoacremonium alvesii. RNAcentral's name for it is "partial large subunit ribosomal RNA". It matches the Rfam family "Eukaryotic large subunit ribosomal RNA", at positions 68 to 959 of the family's 3401-position model. The record is from RNAcentral. Lineage: Eukaryota; Fungi; Ascomycota; Sordariomycetes; Togniniales; Togniniaceae.
ACAGGGAUUGCCCCAGUAACGGCGAGUGAAGCGGCAACAGCUCAAAUUUGAAAUCUGGCCUCGGCCCGAGUUGUAAUUUGCAGAGGAUGCUUCGGGCGCGGUGCCUUCCGAGUUCCCUGGAACGGGACGCCAUAGAGGGUGAGAGCCCCGUAUGGUUGGACGCCUAGCCUGUGUGAAGCUCCUUCGACGAGUCGAGUAGUUUGGGAAUGCUGCUCAAAAUGGGAGGUAUAUCUCUUCUAAAGCUAAAUACCGGCCAGAGACCGAUAGCGCACAAGUAGAGUGAUCGAAAGAUGAAAAGCACCUUGAAAAGGGGGUUAAACAGCACGUGAAAUUGUUGAAAGGGAAGGGCCCAUGACCAGACUUGUGUCCGGCGGAUCACCCAGCGUUCUCGCUGGGGCACUCCGCCGGGUCCAGGCCAGCAUCGGUUCUCGCCGGGGGAUAAAGGCUCUGGGAACGUAGCUCCUCCGGGAGUGUUAUAGCCCUCUGCGUAAUACCCUGGCGGGGACCGAGGUACGCGCUCCGCAAGGAUGCUGGCGUAAUGGUCAUCAGCCACCCGUCUUGAAACACGGAUCAAGGAGUCGUCCAUUAGAGCGAGCGUUUGGGUGUCAAACCCGCACGCGUAAUGAAAGUGAACGUAGGUGAGAGCUUCGGCGCAUCAUCGACCGAUCCUGAUGUCCUCGGAUGGAUUUGAGUAUGAGUUUUACUGGACGGACCCGAAAGAUGGUGAACUAUGCCUGUAUAGGGUGAAGCCAGAGGAAACUCUGGUGGAGGCUCGCAGCGGUUCUGACGUGCAAAUCGAUCGUCAAAUAUGGGCAUGGGGGCGAAAGACUAAUCGAACCAUCUAGUAGCUGGUUACC